Unclassified non-coding RNA from Bison bison bison, 113 nucleotides. The record is from Ensembl. NCBI's taxonomy places the organism in Eukaryota, Metazoa, Chordata, Mammalia, Artiodactyla, Bovidae.
AAUUCAGAAUCCAUUUCUAGAGGAGGUAAUGAGGCCAUUGAGAGGCCUGAUAAGGACUGUCCCUCUCCCCUAACCUACGCCUGUUGGUUCCUGUUCUGAAAUUCCCAUUCAGG